CCGCUCUGCUCGAGACCGCUCCCCGCUCCUCCUGACCCGCAUUCACCCGUACUGUACAGGCAUGGGGGAGGACCGAGCUUAGAAAGCGAGUAAACGCUGUAGAGUUUCCCCUCUGCACACCGUGGCCAUGACUUUGGCAGUCCCGGGCGGCGGCAGCGGCUCUCCCGUCUCCACGCACCUGAUAGCGGACUGAAAGGGGGAAGCUAACACCGGGGAGAGGCUUUAGCAGACGCCGACCGAGACGAUUUUCCAGACGGGUGUCAGAACUGUUCAUCUAUUUCAAGGAAGACGCUCUGCCACCUAAUGUUUUUGCCAACAAAGAAGACUGGGCUUCAUCUUCAAAGCACCAGGAGGGGAACCCAGUGCUGGUUUUCUACUGUUGCAGCCUAUCCUCUUCAAGUUGUGCACUCUGCGAUGCUUUUCCGCCCCGCCGCUCAUCAGCUCGAGCUGCUCCGGCCGUUCUCCUCUGACCCCUCUCAUCAACAAGGCGCUUCGAUCCACAGAAAUGCAGCU
This is a long non-coding RNA of Amphiprion ocellaris (clown anemonefish), 513 nucleotides long. Lineage: Eukaryota; Metazoa; Chordata; Actinopteri; Pomacentridae. The record is from Ensembl.